RNAcentral lists this long non-coding RNA (1328 nucleotides) under Monodelphis domestica (gray short-tailed opossum). RNAcentral's name for it is "lncRNA (ENSMODG00000038561.1)". The record is from RNAcentral. Lineage: Eukaryota; Metazoa; Chordata; Mammalia; Didelphimorphia; Didelphidae.
AGGUGUGACAGGCCCGUCACAGCCAGCACUGCAGCCUCUGCUAUCCCACACAGCGAUAUAUAGAUUUGUUCAUAGUUUUGGGUUUUUUUUUUUUUAAUAGUCUGGCCCGCCAGCUAUCUGAGCGACAGUGAAUUAACCUUCUGUGUAAAUUCUUUGAGCACCCCUGCUCUAGGGAAAUCUGUCCUAUAGAGAAGGAUUGGGGGUGUGAUUAAACACUAAAGACCUCUUUCCCACUGAAGACACUUCUAGGUCUCUCCUGAAAGAGGAGUGAUUCUGAACUACAAUGACAAAAUAGCCCCGGAAUCGCCAGUCUGAUGAGUUUGCAAAACCGACUAUCAAGAACAGUGGUCAUAUGAAGAGGCAAAAUAUCUUAAGCUCUCCUUUAGGCAUCAAUAUAAAUUGAAUGAGUUUGCAAAUGCUGUUUGAAUAUGAAGAGAUUUAUCUAACUGACAAGAGUGAGCAUUGGAAGUCAUGUGGAUUUCCAGCCAAGAUCCUCUAAACGCCUGCCUCUACUUCCCUUGGAUACUGAAUGCAUUGAGGAUUGAGACUCACCCAGUUAGACCAGUGAAGUUGAGGGCAAGUAAGAAGAGGCAAGUCAAAGGGGAGAAAGGGUAGACAGUAACACACGUAUGUGAAGAUGUGUGGUCCUUGAAGGGUGUGGCUGUGAGCAUAAGAGGGUUCAUUUCUAUUUUAGCAAAUCAUUUUAAAGUCUCUAUUUGAAGAUGAAGAGUCAUAUUACUGAUAGCCCUGUUACAUGAUUUCAAACCUUAGAUCUCAGGCACAGAAGAAAUCAUUUUUAAUCAUUUGACAUCAGCUUGGUAGGAAGGAUCCAAUGAAGAACACCUGGGAAAUCUCUUGCCUAGGAAUUUUGUCAUUUUUAUUUAUAGUUUCAAAAAAGGCACAUUGGUCAUUAACAAUUCAGGUGAAGCAAUGAUGGGAGAAGAGGUAACAGUCUAAAGAGAACAACAGGAACUGGAACCAUCUUUAAAGUCUAAAAACUGGGACAGAACGUGAGAAGAACUGGUAUUCUGUACACUGAAGCCUCCAAAAGAUUGGCUCAGUUCCUUCUCCUGCUUUAUGUAGUGGAUGUGGGAGAUAAGGAGGAUAUUUUCUGUUCUUUUCUGCACCAGGUUCUGAUUGGGUUCUCACAAAGGAGCUCCAGAAUGGCAAUCAAUGAAAAACGAGGAGGCAGGUAGAAGAAUGAGAAGUUUCAGAAAUUGUAGCAAUAUUUAAGGAGCCCUUUAAAAAGUUUCAGCUUCUAUUUAGGAAAGAAUCAAAUCCCUCAGUUAACACUUAACAGUGUUCAAACAGUCUCAGUUUGGAGUGAA